Molecule: long non-coding RNA, 980 nt
Organism: Artibeus jamaicensis (Jamaican fruit-eating bat)
Lineage: Eukaryota; Metazoa; Chordata; Mammalia; Chiroptera; Phyllostomidae
Exons: 6
Source: RefSeq, a predicted model, not a curated record
CACCCACCCUUGCCCUUUCUCCACCCCACACUCCAGACAAACGUCUGGGGCCCUGAAGAGAUCACACAGCCCAGAGGGGGUGGCCUGAGUGAGGGCUGGCAGCUGCCUACCCAGCGCCAGCAGGAACCCCCAGGCCGGAUGGGUUACAGUGUGGCUGGGCCCGGGUUGCCCUGACCUGACCGCCCCACGCCCACCCCCACCACCGCCGCAAAUGUUUCCUUCUUCAGGAGCAGUUUCCAGCUUCCAUCUCCCUCCGUCUGACUGCUGGGGAGGAGCCAGGGACCACCGCCCAGGUGGACGCACAAGCCUCCGCCGGCCGCCGUCCUGACUGCCCAGCGCAGCUGCAGAGGGUCCCCAGCCAAGGUCCACCUCAGCCCUCCCUCCCUGAGCCAGCUGGGACCACAGCUCUGCCCUGCCAGGUGCCAGCAGAUCAGCCACCUGCUGUUCCUCAGGGAAGAGACCAGGGCUGCCGGGUGAGCCAGGCCUGGGAGAGCCAUUGCCAAGUUAGAUAACUUGGCCCGAGUCACACAGCUGCCAAGCGUCAGACCCAGACCGUGAUCCCCGGACGAAUGGCUCCCCAGCCCCCAGUUACACAAAGACAAAGAUUCGUCCUGAGGCAGAAAACGGUCCAUCGGAAGUCAGGAGAGCAGACCGUUGGACCAUGGUUUUAUAGGGUUCGAAGCACUUUUGUGUAGAGUUUGUUAAAGUAACUGUGAAGUCCUUCCUGGAAAAGGAAGUUCCAGAGAAGGCGGAUCAACUCCGUGCGAGAAUGAAAGUCUGAAGGUGGAAUGUGCUAUCAGAAGAUGAGACAGAGUGGGCCACCACUGUUACAAGAGGGGGGCCAUGACCUUGACAAGGACAGGCUGGGGCAGAGAACACAGCAUGGGCCAUGGCACGGACCCUGGACGGGAGCAACAGCAUUCGAAAGAGAGAAGCUGGUGCCAUCAGCAGAACACCUGCAGCCAAUCAAAGAAAAACAC